This 499-nucleotide ribosomal RNA is filed under the name uncultured bacterium. RNAcentral describes it as "SSU rRNA". It matches the Rfam family "Bacterial small subunit ribosomal RNA", at positions 26 to 518 of the family's 1533-position model. The record is from RNAcentral.
AGGACGAACGCUGGCGGCGUGCUUAACACAUGCAAGUCGAGCGGAAAGGCCCUUUCGGGGGUACUCGAGCGGCGAACGGGUGAGUAACACGUGAGUAACCUGCCUUCAGCUUUGGGAUAACCCUCGGAAACGGGGGCUAAUACCGGGUAUUCACUCUGGGGGGCAUCUUCUGGGGUGGAAAGUUUUUCGGCUGGAGAUGGGCUCGCGGCCUAUCAGCUUGUUGGUGGGGUAAUGGCCUACCAAGGCGGCGACGGGUAGCCGGCCUGAGAGGGCGACCGGCCACGACUGGGACUGAGACACGGCCCAGACUCCUACGGGAGGCAGCAGUGGGGAAUUGUUCGCAAUGGGCGCAAGCCUGACGACGCAACGCCGCGUGGAGGAUGAAGGUCUUCGGAUUGUAAACUCCUGUUGACCGGGACGAAUGAGUGCCGACCUAACACGUCGGUGCAGUGACGGUACCGGUUGAGGAAGCCACGGCUAACUCUGUGCCAGCAGCCGC